CGGGGGCUCACACAAAGCGGUGGAGCAUGUGGUUCAAUUCGAAGCAACGCGAAGAACCUUACCCGGGUUUGAAAUCCACGGAUGGGUCUGAUGAAAGUCGGAUACUCUGCCCGCAAGGGUGAAACGUGGACAGGUGUUGCAUGGCUGUCGUCAGCUCGUGUCGUGAGAUGUCGGGUUAAGUCCCUCAACGAGCGAAACCCUUGUCUCUAGUUGCCAACGGUUCGGCCGGGGACUCUAGAGAGACUGCCGUUGUGAAAACGGAGGAAGGUGGGGAUGACGUCAAGUCAUCAUGGCCUUUAUGCUCGGGGCUACACACGUGCUACAAUGGUCGGUACAAAGGGAUGCAAAGCCGUGAGGUAGAGCAAAACUCAAAAAGCCGACCCCAGUUCAGAUUGGAGGCUGCAACUCGCCUCCAUGAAGAUGGAAUCGCUAGUAAUCGCGGAUCAGCUACGCCGCGGUGAAUAUGUUCCUGGGCCUUGUACACACCGCCCGUCAAGCCACGAAAGCUGGCAGUACCCGAAGUCGCGUACCCAACCGCAAGGAGGGAAGCGCCCACGGUAAGGCCGGUGAUUGGGACUAAGUCGUAACAAGGUAACC
RNAcentral lists this ribosomal RNA (597 nucleotides) under uncultured bacterium. RNAcentral describes it as "bacterial SSU rRNA". It matches the Rfam family "Bacterial small subunit ribosomal RNA", at positions 914 to 1501 of the family's 1533-position model. The record is from RNAcentral.